AACGAACGCUGGCGGCAUGCCUAACACAUGCAAGUCGAACGAGACCUUCGGGUAUAGUGGCGCACGGGUGCGUAACGCGUGGGAACCUGCCCUUAGGUUCGGAAUAACUCCCCGAAAGGGGUGCUAAUACCGGAUAAUGUCUUCGGACCAAAGAUUUAUCGCCUUUGGAUGGGCCCGCGUUGGAUUAGCUAGUUGGUAGGGUAAAAGCCUACCAAGGCGACGAUCCAUAGCUGGUCUGAGAGGAUGAUCAGCCACACUGGGACUGAGACACGGCCCAGACUCCUACGGGAGGCAGCAGUGGGGAAUAUUGGACAAUGGGCGAAAGCCUGAACCAGCAAUGCCGCGUGAGUGAUGAAGGCCUUAGGGUUGUAAAGCUCUUUUACCCGGGAUGAUAAUGACAGUACCGGGAGAAUAAGCUCCGGCUAACUCCGUG
Molecule: ribosomal RNA, 433 nt
Filed under: uncultured bacterium
Lineage: Bacteria
Description: partial 16S ribosomal RNA
Rfam family: Bacterial small subunit ribosomal RNA
Source: RNAcentral